UUGGUUAGAGUAUAGUGUGGUA
RNAcentral lists this non-coding RNA (22 nucleotides) under Arabidopsis thaliana (thale cress). The record is from RNAcentral. Lineage: Eukaryota; Viridiplantae; Streptophyta; Magnoliopsida; Brassicales; Brassicaceae.